AGGGCAUCUUCUCCAGGCUGGGCUGGAACUUGAAGUUCUCCUGCCUCAGCCUCCCGGAGUCCUGGGAGUAUACCGCCGGCGGCUGGACCUCUGACUUCUCACCUAUAAAACACACAUGCCCCGGCCCGCGCAGGCAGAUCUGGAAGGAAGUCGGCCACCUGUGUCCGGAAGACUCAGGAGUUCGAGUCAAG
RNAcentral lists this long non-coding RNA (191 nucleotides) under Fukomys damarensis (Damara mole-rat). RNAcentral describes it as "lncRNA (ENSFDAG00000029132.1)". Lineage: Eukaryota; Metazoa; Chordata; Mammalia; Rodentia; Bathyergidae. The record is from RNAcentral.